This 461-nucleotide ribosomal RNA is filed under the name uncultured bacterium. Its description in RNAcentral is "partial 16S ribosomal RNA". It matches the Rfam family "Bacterial small subunit ribosomal RNA", at positions 338 to 795 of the family's 1533-position model. The record is from RNAcentral.
CCUACGGGAGGCUGCAGUGAGGAAUAUUGGUCAAUGGACGAGAGUCUGAACCAGCCAAGUAGCGUGAAGGAUGACUGCCCUAUGGGUUGUAAACUUCUUUUAUAAAGGAAUAAAACGAGCCACGUGUGCCGUUUUUGCAUGUACUGUAUGAAUAAGACUCGGCUAACUCCGUGCCAGCAGCCGCGGUAAUAAGGAGGUACCGACCGUUAUCCGGAUUUUUUGGGUUUAAAGGGAGCGUAGAGGGGUUGUUAAGUCAGUUGUGAAAGUUGGCGGCCCAACCGUAAAAGUGCAGUUGAUACUGGCAGUCUUGAGUACAGUAGAGGUAGGCGGAAUGCGUGGUGUAGCGGUGAAAUGCUUAGAUAUCACGAAGAACUCCGAUUGCGAAGGCAGCUUACUAAACUGCAACUGACAUUGAUGCUCGAAAGUGUGGGUAUCAAACAGGAUUAGAUACCCCUGUAGUC